GACGAACGCUGGCGGCGUGCUUAACACAUGCAAGUCGAACGGAAAGGCCCUGCUUUUGUGGGGUGCUCGAGUGGCGAACGGGUGAGUAACACGUGAGUAACCUGCCCUUGACUUUGGGAUAACUUCAGGAAACUGGGGCUAAUACCGGAUAGGAGCUCCUGCUGCAUGGUGGGGGUUGGAAAGUUUCGGCGGUUGGGGAUGGACUCGCGGCUUAUCAGCUUGUUGGUGGGGUAGUGGCUUACCAAGGCUUUGACGGGUAGCCGGCCUGAGAGGGUGACCGGCCACAUUGGGACUGAGAUACGGCCCAGACUCCUACGGGAGGCAGCAGUGGGGAAUAUUGCACAAUGGGCGGAAGCCUGAUGCAGCAACGCCGCGUGCGGGAUGACGGCCUUCGGGUUGUAAACCGCUUUCGCCUGUGACGAAGCGUGAGUGACGGUAAUGGGUAAAGAAGCACCGGCUAACUACGUGCCAGCAGCCGCGGUGAUACGUAGGGUGCGAGCGUUGUCCGGAUUUAUUGGGCGUAAAGGGCUCGUAGGUGGUUGAUCGCGUCGGAAGUGUAAUCUUGGGGCUUAACCCUGAGCGUGCUUUCGAUACGGGUUGACUUGAGGAAGGUAGGGGGAGAAUGGAAUUCCUGGUGGAGCGGUGGAAUGCGCAGAUAUCAGGAGGAACACCAGUGGCGAAGGCGGUUCUCUGGGCCUUUCCUGACGCUGAGGAGCGAAAGCGUGGGGAGCGAACAGGCUUAGAUACCCUGGUAGUCCACGCUGUAAACGGUGGGUACUAGGUGUGGGGUCCAUUCCACGGGUUCCGUGCCGUAGCUAACGCUUUAAGUACCCCGCCUGGGGAGUACGGCCGCAAGGCUAAAACUCAAAGGAAUUGACGGGGCCCCGCACAAGCGGCGGAGCAUGCGGAUUAAUUCGAUGCAACGCGUAGAACCUUACCUGGGUUUGACAUGGAUCGGGAGCGCUCAGAGAUGGGUGUGCCUCUUUUGGGGUCGGUUCACAGGUGGUGCAUGGCUGUCGUCAGCUAGUGUCGUGAGAUGUUGGGUUAAGUCCCGCAACGAGCGCAACCCUUGUUCACUGUUGCCAGUACGUUAUGGUGGGGACUCAGUGGAGACCGCCGGGGUCAACUCGGAGGAAGGUGGGGAUGACGUCAAGUCAUCAUGCCCCUUAUGUCCAGGGCUUCACGCAUGCUACAAUGGCUGGUACAGAGAGUGGCGAGCCUGUGAGGGUGAGCGAAUCUCGGAAAGCCGGUCUCAGUUCGGAUUGGGGUCUGCAACUCGACCUCAUGAAGUCGGAGUCGCUAGUAAUCGCAGAUCAGCAACGCUGCGGUGAAUACGUUCCCGGGGCU
Molecule: ribosomal RNA, 1347 nt
Filed under: uncultured bacterium
Lineage: Bacteria
Description: bacterial SSU rRNA
Rfam family: Bacterial small subunit ribosomal RNA
Source: RNAcentral